CUUGCUGGGGUGGAUGAGUGGCGAACGGGUGAGUAACACGUGAGUAACCUUCCCUUGACUCUGGGAUAAGCCCGGGAAACUGGGUCUAAUACCGGAUAUGACCUCCUGUCGCAUGGUGGGGGGUGGAAAGAUUUAUCGGUCUUGGAUGGACUCGCGGCCUAUCAGCUUGUUGGUGAGGUAAUGGCUCACCAAGGCGACGACGGGUAGCCGGCCUGAGAGGGUGACCGGCCACACUGGGACUGAGACACGGCCCAGACUCCUACGGGAGGCAGCAGUGGGGAAUAUUGCACAAUGGGCGCAAGCCUGAUGCAGCGACGCCGCGUGAGGGAUGACGGCCUUCGGGUUGUAAACCUCUUUCAGUAGGGAAGAAGCCUUCGGGUGACGGUACCUGCAGAAGAAGCGCCGGCUAACUACGUGCCAGCAGCCGCGGUAAUACGUAGGGCGCGAGCGUUAUCCGGAAUUAUUGGGCGUAAAGAGCUCGUAGGCGGUUUGUCGCGUCUGCCGUGAAAGUCCGGGGCUUAACCCCGGAUCUGCGGUGGGUACGGGCAGACUAGAGUGCAGUAGGGGAGACCGGAAUUCCUGGUGUAGCGGUGAAAUGCGCAGAUAUCAGGAGGAACACCGAUGGCGAAGGCAGGUCUCUGGGCUGUUACUGACGCUGAGGAGCGAAAGCAUGGGGAGCGAACAGGAUUAGAUACCCUGGUAGUCCAUGCCGUAAACGUUGGGCACUAGGUGUGGGGGACAUUCCACGUUUUCCGCGCCGCAGCUAACGCAUUAAGUGCCCCGCCUGGGGAGUACGGCCGCAAGGCUAAAACUCAAAGGAAUUGACGGGGGCCCGCACAAGCGGCGGAGCAUGCGGAUUAAUUCGAUGCAACGCGAAGAACCUUACCAAGGCUUGACAUGUUCUCGAUCGCCACAGAGAUGUGGUUUCCCCUUUGGGGCGGGUUCACAGGUGGUGCAUGGUUGUCGUCAGCUCGUGUCGUGAGAUGUUGGGUUAAGUCCCGCAACGAGCGCAACCCUCGUUCCAUGUUGCCAGCGGGUUAUGCCGGSGACUCAUGGGAGACUGCCGGGGUCAACUCGGAGGAAGGUGGGGACGACGUCAAAUCAUCAUGCCCCUUAUGUCUUGGGCUUCACGCAUGCUACAAUGGCCGGUACAAUGGGUUGCGAUACUGUGAGGUGGAGCUAAUCCCAAAAAGCCGGUCUCAGUUCGGAUUGGGGUCUGCAACUCGACCCCAUGAAGUCGGAGUCGCUAGUAAUCGCAGAUCAGCAACGCUGCGGUGAAUACGUUCCCGGGCCUUGUACACACCGCCCGUCAAGUCACGAAAGUCGGUAACACCCGAAGCCGGUGGCCCAACCCUUGUGGGGGGAGCCGUCGAAGGUGGGACUGGCGAUUGGGACUAAGUCGUAACAAGGUAACCGUA
This 1418-nucleotide ribosomal RNA is filed under the name Citricoccus sp. Tibet-ITa3. RNAcentral's name for it is "Citrococcus sp. Tibet-ITa3 16S ribosomal RNA". It matches the Rfam family "Bacterial small subunit ribosomal RNA". The record is from RNAcentral. Lineage: Bacteria; Bacillati; Actinomycetota; Actinomycetes; Micrococcales; Micrococcaceae.